GGGUGUCGUUAAUAGCGGCAUCUCUUGACGUUAGCUGCAGAAGAAGCACCGGCUAACUCCGUGCCAGCAGCCGCGGUAAUACGGAGGGUGCGAGCGUUAAUCGGAAUUACUGGGCGUAAAGCGCAUGCAGGUGGUUUGUUAAGUCAGAUGUGAAAGCCCGGGGCUCAACCUCGGAACUGCAUUUGAAACUGGCAAACUAGAGUACUGUAGAGGGGGGUAGAAUUUCAGGUGUAGCGGUGAAAUGCGUAGAGAUCUGAAGGAAUACCAGUGGCGAAGGCGGCCCCCUGGACAGAUACUGACACUCAGAUGCGAAAGCGUGGGGAGCAAACAGGAUUAGAUACCCUGGUAGUCCACGCC
RNAcentral lists this ribosomal RNA (357 nucleotides) under Vibrio sp. SF092-2. Its description in RNAcentral is "bacterial SSU rRNA". It matches the Rfam family "Bacterial small subunit ribosomal RNA", at positions 446 to 801 of the family's 1533-position model. The record is from RNAcentral. Lineage: Bacteria; Pseudomonadati; Pseudomonadota; Gammaproteobacteria; Vibrionales; Vibrionaceae.